GAAAUGCGAUAAGUAAUGUGAAUUGCAGAAUUCAGUGAAUCAUCGAAUCUUUGAACGCACCUUGCGCUCCUUGGUAUUCCUUGGAGCAUGCCUGUUUGAGUAUCAUGAAAUCUUCAAAGUAAAUCUUUUGUUAACUCAAUUGGUUUCUACUUUGGUAUUGGAGGUCUUUGCAGCUUCACACCUGCUCCUCUUUGUUCAUUAGCUGGAUCUCAGUGUUAUGCUUGGUUCCACUCGGCGUGAUAAGUUAUCUAUCGCUGAGGACCCUGUAAAAGGUGGCCAAGGUAAAUGCAGAUGAACCGCUUCUAAUAGUCCAUUGACUUGGACAAUACUUUUAUGAUCUGAUCUCAAAUCAGGUAGGACUACCCGCUGAACUUAAGC
This 378-nucleotide unclassified non-coding RNA is filed under the name plant metagenome. RNAcentral's name for it is "partial contains 5.8S ribosomal RNA, internal transcribed spacer 2, and large subunit ribosomal RNA". The stretch from base 1 to 105 matches the Rfam family "5.8S ribosomal RNA", at positions 50 to 154 of the family's 154-position model. The record is from RNAcentral.